AUUACGUACGAUUCUUUAAGUUUAAAUAUAUAUAUCUUUUUCUCCCUUCUCCCCAAGAAAAGAGAAAAAUCUUCAAUCUUCGUUAUUUCUUCAUUAUCCAUUAAUCCAUUAAAUUUCCACAGGUAUAUCCGAUUUCCAAGGGUAUUUCGUAAUUAACGAUCGAAUGGAGGAGGGAAAGGAGGGAACGUGUCACGAAUUUGCAGGAAAAUUGGCAAAGGGGAUGAACGAAGGAGAUGCGCGUAGUGUUCUGCUGUUGUUGCAGGAGAUAGGAGGAAAUGUUGGUCGGUUUCGCAAGGCGCACACAGCUCGAGCGAGCUACUCUCAUUUCCAGGCGCGCGCGUGACAGGUUAGGAGUCUACUCUCGAGUAGACGAUGUCCGUCCGUCUCUCCUCUCCGGCCCACCCCGGUUUUCCUUUUCCAGCGAUCCGACACUGAACUCGAUCGUUGAUCUCAUUCAGGGUCGAGUGUUCCUCGAGUUCCUCGAGUUACUACGUUCCGUUUUCUUGUUGCCGCCCAUCUCGUUUCUCUCCGCCAUGUCUAGGCCGAUUCCCAUUGUGCGACCAGACUACUUCUUCGUCUUCGUAUCACCAUUUAUGACGCGAAAUUGUAUCAUCUCGAUUGAUUCUAUUCCGCGAUAUCGUGGAAAUAUUUUCAGAGAUUUUUUUUUUUUUUUAGAAUUUUAUGUUUGAUGGAGUUUGAAUAUAAGUACUCAAAAUUCAUUUCGUAUACGCAAAUUUUUAUUAUCAGAAUUUUUGAGUUAGGUAAAUUUUUUUGUAUCGAUUCUUGUACCUUUUUUUUUUAUUCUUUUCAUUUUUAUAUCUUGUAUUAAAUUCAACUUAUCGGUGAUUUUGAUUAACUUAUCAGUGGGAUAAGUUUGAGCAUAAAUUUUUAUCCAUUGAACGUGUAAAAUUUUCCACUUCAAUGUAACAUUUAUUCGAUAAUGUAACUUUCCUUCGCUGUCGUAAAAAAUAAUAGAAAGAAUGUCCGAUCUCACAGUCGACUUCUUUCUCCCCUCCCCCCUCUCUUCUUUAAAAUAAAAAAAGAAUAUUAAAUUAUUCUAAAAAUAAUAUAGAUAUAACGUAUUCGAUUCACGUGGACGGGAAUACAAUGGUUACAGGCAUUCUAAUGGCCAGAGUUAUUUUACAAGGUACACAGAACGCGUGUAAUGAAACAGGAAGUGGAGGAAGAUAAAAGAAAUAAGAGCAUAAAGAGUGAAAGUAAAUAUUCCACCGUUGAAAGUACGUAAACCUGAUCUUUUAGAGCUCAUAAAAUUGUAAAGUCUUUACCCAAAAAAGUUUUUGGAAACAAUUCUCGUGUAUUAUAUGGGAUACUAUAUUUAAUAAAUCGAUUAUUUCAACAAGGGAUUAACAUUUUUCAUCGACCGAUGUAUCCGUUUUAAGAUUCCUGAACGUACAUUUUAAUACGCACAAGAUAUUUUUUUCUCUCUUUUUUAUUUGAUUACACGCUUCGAAAAAAUAUUGUCGUGAUAGAAUGCAAAUCAAUUUUUUCCUUGUUUUUUUUUUUUUCGGAUAUCUUAUGAAAAAUAAUCGAUUAACAUAUAUUACAAUGAAAGUCAAAGGAAAUGUCAUCGAAGCGGAAGUUGCACAUCAGUUGCCCACGAGUUUGUUGCCUUUUCGAACCUUAUGAGAUUCACAAUGGAACAGUGGUUCUCAAUCAUUUCCUUAUCGAUACUUUCAAAUUAUUAUUAAGGAAACUUGUUUCUAAAAUUGUUUUCACCACGAAUUAAUACUUGAAUCCUAUUAUAUUGAACUAUUCAAUAAUUUUCAAUCCUUGAUUGACGUAUUCCUCUAAUUUCAAUGUGUACUCAUAAAGUUAUUGCAAUCGAUUUAUAUUUCGGUUGAGUCGCACGGUUCGAUAAAGAUUUUAUUAUCGUUUCAAUUCUCUUAUCGUCUCUUGUAAGAUAGAUAAGAUGUAUAUAAGAUAGACGAAAGUAUAACUUCAAAAUAAGUAUCAAAAAUAAAUGGAAUAAAUUUUUUCCAUCUUUCAAAUUCUUAUUAGAUCCAAUGUAUAUCCUCCGUGCAAAAUCAUAUUUUCCAUAUUGUAAAAAUUUUUAAUUCUUCGUCCAUCAUUUAUCACAUUUCAUCGAACUUGAAAAAAAAUCCCAACGAAAUCUGUUAAUUUUAACGCGCCUUGAAACUUGUUCUGAAAGCAUAUAACGUAAAACUGAAUAUGCGGAGGAAACUUGCGUGAUAAAAAUCUAUUCCUCGAAGAAAAGUACAGUUUUUUAUAUAAAACCGUAGGAAGAUAUAAGAAUAAUUCAUCCUCUCGCUCGUUCUCAAUUACAUCGCAAUCUUUUGAAAUCAAAUUUAUUAAAAAAGAAAAAAAAAAUUUUCCAACGCCAACCGGAUCGGAUUACUUUAUUGUUUCAUCAGGAGAAUCAUCAAGAUCUCGUUAACUCUUCGCCAAAUGAAAUUCACCGUUAGACCUGUUUCCAGAUAUACUCCUUCGUUAUUCUAGAGAAAAAUAAAAUAAAAAUAAUAAUAGAAAAGAAAAAACCAUCCUCGGUAACAACGAAAACUAACUCUUCCAUUGUUCAUUCCGUGUAUAAUAAUAAUAAUAAUCUUUGGUACGAUCUAAAAAAAUUACCGAAACGUUCUUAUUGUAUAAUUCACGACGUAUUAACAAUCCUUAAUCGCGAUCUGAAUUGUUAAUUAACGAAACUCCUUGGCAACAAUUUAAACGCGUUUCACACAUAUUUUAUUUUCGGUUGCGCAAACGUUUAUUAUUAACAACGCGAGGGGGAUGAAACGAAAGGAUAAAGAUCCAUAUUCGCAUAUUUCGCUUUAUAAUGAAUCUAUCGUUUGUUUGAACACGUUCGAAGACAAACAGUUCGGCAACCGUUUACCGAAGAAAUAUCGGUUUGUUUAUAAAACCUUCCAAAAUUGGUUGGUCGAACAAGAAUUUUUAUGAGCACUUUA
This 2939-nucleotide long non-coding RNA is filed under the name Apis mellifera (honey bee). Its description in RNAcentral is "uncharacterized LOC107964305". The record is from RNAcentral. Lineage: Eukaryota; Metazoa; Arthropoda; Insecta; Hymenoptera; Apidae.